RNAcentral lists this ribosomal RNA (495 nucleotides) under uncultured bacterium. Its description in RNAcentral is "partial 16S ribosomal RNA". It matches the Rfam family "Bacterial small subunit ribosomal RNA", at positions 28 to 507 of the family's 1533-position model. The record is from RNAcentral.
GAUGAACGCUGGCGGCGUGCCUAAUACAUGCAAGUAGAACGCUGAAGGAGGAGCUUGCUCUUCUGGAUGAGUUGCGAACGGGUGAGUAACGCGUAGGUAACCUGCCUGGUAGCGGGGGAUAACUAUUGGAAACGAUAGCUAAUACCGCAUGACAACAGUUAUUGCAUGAUAACUGUUUAAAAGGGGCAACUGCUCCACUACCAGAUGGACCUGCGUUGUAUUAGCUAGUUGGUGAGGUAACGGCUCACCAAGGCGACGAUACAUAGCCGACCUGAGAGGGUGAUCGGCCACACUGGGACUGAGACACGGCCCAGACCCCUACGGGGGGCAGCAGUAGGGAAUCUUCGGCAAUGGACGGAAGUCUGACCGAGCAACGCCGCGUGAGUGAAGAAGGUUUUCGGAUCGUAAAGCUCUGUUGUAAGAGAAGAACGAGUGUGAGAGUGGAAAGUUCACACUGUGACGGUAUCUUACCAGAAAGGGACGGCUAACUACGUG